RNAcentral lists this ribosomal RNA (425 nucleotides) under uncultured bacterium. Its description in RNAcentral is "bacterial SSU rRNA". It matches the Rfam family "Bacterial small subunit ribosomal RNA", at positions 30 to 500 of the family's 1533-position model. The record is from RNAcentral.
CGUACGCUGGCGGCACGCCUUAUACAUGCAAGUCGAACGAAGUAGCAAUACUUAGUGGCAGACGGGUGAGUAACAUGUAGGUAUCUACCCUUUGGUGAGGAAUAACACGAGGAAACUUGUGCUAAUACCUCAUAAGUCUUUACGGAGAAAGCUUUAUGCGCCAUUGGAUGAGCCUGCACUUGAUUAGUUUGUUGGUGGGGUAAAGGCCUACCAAGACUGUGAUCAAUAGCUGAUUUGAGAGGAUGAUCAGCCACAUUGGGACUGAGACACGGCCCAAACUCCUACGGGAGGCAGCAGUGGGGAAUCUUGCACAAUGGAGGAAACUCUGAUGCAGCGAUGCCGCGUGAGUGAAGAAGGCCUUUGGGUUGUAAAGCUCUUUCGUCGGGGAAGAAAAUGACUGUACCCGAAUAAGAAGGUCCGGCUAA